This 253-nucleotide ribosomal RNA is filed under the name uncultured bacterium. Its description in RNAcentral is "partial 16S ribosomal RNA". It matches the Rfam family "Bacterial small subunit ribosomal RNA", at positions 524 to 776 of the family's 1533-position model. The record is from RNAcentral.
UACGGAGGAUGCAAGCGUUAUCCGGAAUGAUUGGGCGUAAAGCGUCCGCAGGUGGCAAUGUAAGUCUGCUGUUAAAGAGUCUAGCUCAACUAGAUAAAAGCAGUGGAAACUACAUAGCUAGAGUACGUUCGGGGCAGAGGGAAUUCCUGGUGUAGCGGUGAAAUGCGUAGAGAUCAGGAAGAACACCAGUGGCGAAGGCGCUCUGCUAGGCCGUAACUGACGCUCAGACACGACAGCAUGGGGAGCGAACGGG